Apus apus (common swift) is the source of this 15717-nucleotide long non-coding RNA. RefSeq lists it as uncharacterized. The transcript is spliced from 3 exons. The record is from RefSeq and is a predicted model, not a curated record. NCBI's taxonomy places the organism in Eukaryota, Metazoa, Chordata, Aves, Apodiformes, Apodidae.
UUUUAACACUCUCAAUCUAUCCAUUGCAUUUCUUAAUAGAGUUGUUAGAGUUACAGUCUCUCUGCUGAGACAAUCAGAGAAAGAUGAAACUCCUCAUAACCUCUUUAAUCAAGUUCUGGUGCAGUAUCAGUAAGGUCCAGCAGAUCCCUAUGAACCUUUCCACUUCCAUUGUUCUUCCCAUUUGCCUUCUGGGUAUGGGCUUGAGAGAAAGAUUUCUCGUCUCUCCACAGAGCUAGGCUGGAAUUAGACUGCCAAUACUUGCAUGUGCCCUGGCAAUGUAAUUUAGCAGGUCAUCAGUCUAUAAUGAAGGCUUAGAUUCUGGUGUUUUAAUUUGUUUGAGGUGGCUGAGUGUCUCCUUUCUUUAUUGCAUGAUUUUUCUGUAAUUGUUCCAACUUACACAUAGAUCACAUAGAUGUUAGAUCUGCUAUUUAAACACCACAUAGUGCUCUUCACUCAAAAGCGUGUGGCUGUUAUCAAACUUAAAAGAACAUGGAAAUGUGAGACACUUUCACAGCAGUAACAGUCUAAGUUACCCUUUUAAACUUCCCUCAUUCUGCAACCUGAAGGACCAAAUGCACAAUCAUGUGCCACUCACAGCUCUGAGAUCCUGCUACAGCGAGGCAGACCUUAGCAAGGGAGAGUGAAGCAGGAGGGUAAACACUUGACCUCUCUCAUCUUAGCUCCUAUUAUUUAUGCUCAGAUAACCACUAGCUUGAAGCUGAAAAUAUGUCAGUGUAGUAACUUUUCUAAAAGUAACCCCUAUCAGGCUUGAAGGCCUUCUCUUUUGAAAGCACUUAAUCUCAAAAAUGGUUUUCGACUGUGCUCUGCUCAUGGAUCUUUAUGGCAUGUAGAUGAUGCCUUUAAGCCACAGGAACAAUGCUAAUCUUCUCUUGAACUUGCAGGGACUCCUGAAUCUUCUAUUCCUCCAGUCCUAUUUAAAAUGUAUUAAUUUAGAGAAAUAGUCUUUUCCCUGAGUGGAGGUUAUUGCUUGGUUUCUGUUAAUAAUUUAUUGCUCUAUCUCCUGUUUUUUAAAAGAUAUUAUGAAUGAUAUGGCUCUGUGUCUAUAAAAUUUCCUUAAAUAGAUAAUUUCCUUCAAGUGCCAUUUCACUCUUUAGAUUUCCUUGUGUGCUGCUGCACACCAAACCAACCCAGGAAGGCAGUAAGCCAAGCAGGGUCCUGGUGAACAUUUGUUCUGUUUUCAGCAUUCUGUAAAUUGUUUAUCAAGGGCUGUGGCCCAGCCUAUGUGGUAUUACGUAAAAUGACAUUAAAAAGCAGUCAGAAUGAACUACACAUUAAACUCUUAGAGUACUUUAGAAUUUGUCUGUUGCAGGGAGAAGGAUUUGAAGUGAUGUUUUUUGAUUGGUUGCAGUCAAACUGGACAUGCACCAAAUGCAUAAUUUUAGACAGAGCUGAUUGCUGUGCAGGUCCACAGAAGUGUCUGAUGUGACUCAUGCUUAGACCCUAUUUUCAGUUCUUUCUUAUGUUGGUAGCAAUUAUCUGUCUGAAGCAAAGUUUUUCCUGACAUGUCUACUCAGGUAGAAUUACAAUUAACUCUGAUACAAGGGAACAGUUUGUUUCAAAAUCUCAUAAGAACCAUGUUACAGAAAUUGCACACGAGAUGCAAAGAGAACUUUGUGUGAGAUAGAGGAGGAAGAUCUCGGGGUUCAAGAGCUUUGAGGAUAAUGUAGUCUCCCAAAAUUAGACUCGUUAUUCAAUAUUGAAACAGCUUUUGUGUGUGACAGGACAGAAUCUUCCUUUUAAAUGUAUCGGUUGCCAGUCACGUGCAGUUCUAGCUGUCAGGAGCUGUCCUCUAUUUCAGUUUAAAAAAACCCAAACAAACCAAAACAGAUCCUUUUUAGAUUGUUGGAACUUAAAAAAUAAAAAAAACCAAGGUGAAUAACUUACUGGGUUUCCGCUGACAUGGAAGUGACAUCAGUCACUUAUUGGUGCCAGAUGUUAUCUUUAGCCACAUGUUUUUGGCAUGCUAGUCAUUGCAGAGGGCUUCAUGGCUCCUCUGGGGAACCGGAGCUGUAGCACACAGUGCAGACUGGCUCAAAACAAUUUUCUGCCAUACUCAGGCUCAUAUUUAGGUAAAAGGUUGAGCCCAGAUAGGUGUGAAGCAAGUAGAAGUUUGAGUGCCAGAGUCCCAAGUAGGUCAAUGAAUGAGAUGGGGACUUCCUCUCUUUGCAGAGCUGGUCUUGCUGUGACCAACCUAAGGUGUCCUCCUUAUAUGUGCUGCUAAUAUUUUUCUCUGCCUGGGUUUGUCUGCUGAGUCUUUAAAUAGUAAGAGAAUCAUAGAAUCAUACUAUCAUAGAAUCAUUAAGGUUGGAAGGGACCUUAGAGAUCAUCAAGUUCCAACCCCCCUGCCCUGAGCAGGGGGAAGAGUAGCAACAUAAUGCCUGAAUGUUAAAUAGUACUGUGCUAGUCAGGCAAAACCAGCUCUCAGUUGUAGUGCUUUCAGAGAGAAGCAAAAAUCACUUUCAGAGAGAAGCUACAUAUAAGCCAGGUGAAAAUGAGAGGGAUUUAAUAGAGGGGCUGUAAGAAUCAACUGCUAGCCCAUGAAGCAUACAGUAAGUAUCCUUUGUUCCCUGCUCCCACAAAUAACCCUAAUAUUUUAGCAUUAAGAAAAAUGAGUUAAUCUGAUAGCUACAGAAGAUUUAAAUAAUUUAAUGUAGUUUGGAAGUAGUAAAAAAAGAAAAGAAAAGAAAAGAAAAGAAAAGAGAAGAAAAGAAAAGAAAAGAAAAGAAAAGAAAAGAAAAGAAAAGAAAAGAAAAGAAAAGAAAAGAAAAGAAAAGAAAAGAAAAGAAAAGAAAAGAAAAGAAAAGAAAAGAAAGAAAAGAAAAGAAAAGAAAAGAAAAGAAAAGAAAAGAAAAGAAAAGAAAAGAAAAGAAAAGAAAGAAAAGAAAAGAAAAGAAAAGAAAAGAAAAGAAAAGAAAAGAAAAGAAAAGAAAAGAAAAGAAAAGAAAAGAAAAGAAAAGAAAAAAGCUAUGCAGUGCUCCAGAGUAGAGGCUGUGCAUGCUACAGCAUCCAGGGAAUGUUAAGAAGUGAAUGUACUCCUUAUUUGCAGUUGGUCAGGCACGACAAAUGAUCAUCAGAUCACAGAAUAGUUUCAGUUGGAAGGGACCUUAAAGAUCAUCUAGGUCCAGCCCCCUGCAUGAGGAGGGACACCUUCCCCUAAAUCAGGUUGUCCACAGCCUCAUCCAACCUGGCCUUCAACACUUCCAAAGAUGGGGCAUCCACAGCUUCUCUGGACAACUUCUUCCAUUGUCUCACCACCCUCACAGUGAAGAACUUCUUCCUAAUGCCUAAUCUAAAUCUUCCCUCUCCACUUCAAAACCAUUACACCUUGUUCUAUCAGUACAUGCCUUUGUGAAAAGUACCUCCUCAACAUUCCCCUAGGCCCCCUUCUGGUACUGGAAGGCUGCUAUAAGGUCUCCCUUCUCUUCUUCAGGCUGGACAACCCCAACUCUCUCAGCCUGUCUUCAUAGGAGAGGUGCUCCAGCCCUCUGAUCAUUCUUGUGGCCCUCCUCUACGCUUGCCCGAACAGCUCCAUGUCUUUCUUGUGCUGGGGGCUGCACAACUUCUCUGGGCAACUAGUGACUCUGUUUCACCACCCUCAAAGUGAAUAUUUUUUUCCCAAUGCUUACCCUAAAUCCACCCUCUUCUCUCUGAAAGGAUACACAAAGGAGACAUAUAUAUAUAUAAAUAUAUAUAUAUAUAUAUAUAUAAAAGUCUUUCAACCAUUCCAAGAGCAUUGGGCUGUUUACUGUGUUUGCACGAGUUGCCUCUGGUCAGAGGCUCACAGCUCAUGCUGACGCUUUACCAGUUCUCCAAUGCAGAUUCUUCUUAAACAGAAAGCAAAGCAAACACACAAACCAACCUUUCAGAAAGAAAAUCACUCAUGACAGAAAGAAAAAAAAAGGUCCUGAAUCCAGACACUCUUCAGUAUGUAGGUGAAGCUGAUGGCUGUGACUAUAUAAUGGGUUUCCUCUCUGUGUUACAGGUGGGACAUUUCCAAGGAGGAGGGUCCCAGGAGAUUAUGGGCUUGUAGACAUGAGGAUAGUACAAAACAUUGCUUCAGUCUCUCUGUACUUGGUCUUGAUUUUCCCUCAUCCAAGCUAUUUUUAAGGCCCCCCAAAAAGGAGAGGCCAUUAGAUGAUAUUAGACUAUUCCCUCAUUGCUUUGCUCACUAUCUAGGUCUAGUUUCUGCCACAGCUGUGUUGGUUCAUUAUUUUUCAGUGUACUGCUCCUCUUGUUUACCAGACAUAAUUUCAGUAUGUUUCCUUGUGCCCUGCAUGUGCCAAUUUGUCUUACCUGAGCUCCCCUCAGAACAGCAGGAGAAGCUGUGGCACAGCUCAGCAGUGGUUGUCUGCUCAAGUAUUUACCCAUCUUCCCAGCAAGAUUUUGAAGUUGUUCCUAAAUUCUCAACUGCAAGAGAGGUGUUAUUGUCAGCAUCCCACCUAGCAAACAGAAGGCCAGUUUGGUUAUGUCUGCAGGGUGGUUGCUGGAGGGUGUCUGACUAUAGAUACACUCUGUAAAGGUAAAUGCCUCAGGCAGCAGGUGUCCUUGCAGCCAAAUUCUUUUAUGCUAGUGGCAGUCACUGGUACCAUGGGAUGCUUUCUGCAGGGCUGAGCCAUUAUUUCCUUGGCACUGAAGAUGCUGCUAGCAAGGAAGGGGUGUAUUUGAUCAAGUCUAAGCUCUUCCCCUUCAGCCCACGCACUUUGGCAAGCUCUAUGCAUCAGCAAAGAGGGAAAUCGACUCUGAUACUGUGAAAGACAGGAAAAAUAAUCAAUGCCAUGUAAUUAUUAGCAGUCCCAGCCCAAUAGCCAGCAUCUCGCACUGCAUCAAAAUCAAAAUCAUGGAGUCCAAUAUUAGAACAUCAGUGUUAGCUGAAUAUUGCACCUUUGAAUAUAUGUUGUCUUCAGUUUCCUCUGUUAUUAUUUCCUCCACUGUUUUUUUUUUGUAAGGAGACAACAAGGAGCAUGUCCAGUUUGCCCUACUUUUCAGCAGUUUUAAUCAGCAGCACUGCACUUCUGGCAAUGGCCUUACAAAAGCAGGAGCAGACAUUAGACAGGAAGGGCCUCCUGAGCCCCAGAGCCACUCCCUCUUGCUGUAAUCAUAACAUAUCAACUCGUUUAGCUCCGUCUUAGCUCUCAUUAGGUUUUGUGCCCCUGCUUUGACCAAAAUGUGGUUCCAUAGCCUCUCUCUCUCUUCCAAUGGCAAGAGGCCUUUCAUUUCCAUGCUAAAUAUGUGCACAGUCACUCAUUUUAAUGUAUUACUUAACACACUUGCUCUUUGCAACCAAUGUCUUCUGUUUUUUCUCCACUGGGUUUAACCUACUUCAUAGAAUCACAGAAUGGUUUGCUUAGGAAGGGACCUGAAAGGUCAUCUACUUCCAGCUCACCUGCCAUGGGCAGGGAUACCUCCCACUAGACCAGGUUUCUCAAAGCCCCUUCCAACCUGGCUUUGAACACUUCCAGGCGUGGAGCAUCCACAACUUCUCUGUGCAACUUGUUCCAGUGUCUCACCACCCUCAUAGUAAAAAAUUUCUUCCUAAUGUCUAACCUACAUCUACCCUCUUCUCUCUGAAAGGAUACAGAAAUCAAGUUGUUUUCCUUUCCCCCAAAAUAAAGUGCCUAUUGCUUUGGCCAUCUGAACAGAGCUGCUCUGCCUCUGUUUAAAUAUAAAUUCAAAUAUUUGAAUAUUGAUGACCAGAUUUUUAACCAGUUAUCGAGUCUUUUGUAUAGUAGUCCUAGCAACUUUUGCAUCCUUCUCCAUUAAUAAGUAGUUAGCUCCAAGUAGCCUUCAAAAUAUUUGCAAUGUAACUAUAUAUUUUCAUUAUCAGGUGAUUUAAUUAGUUUCCUUAAUUUCUAAUAAUGCUCUGUCUUCAGAAAAGAACUUGCAAGCCUACUUUCACAUUUGCUUCUAUUUAAUAUAAAUUCAGCUUCUUAGUAUUCGGGAUUUUAUUUUUAAUGUUAAAUCUUUUUAAAUGGUGUUGGCAAUUACAAGUCCAAUAAAAAUAGCAUAUAAUCUGUUGGGUUUUUUUUGACUAUUUGGCAGAGAAAUCUGCCAUCCAUCCCACCUAGAAAUAACUUAGCCUGCUAAUGCACAUUUUUUCUACAUUCUUUGUCUAGGACAUCAAAGUGUCCCUUAAUGAUGUGAUUAUUAGUAAAGCUCUCUUCCUAGUAACAUUACCUAAAUAUCUAUUGCAGCCAGACCUCAUAAUGAAGUUAUAUAAUGGUUUCUCAGCCCAGUAAAACCACUUUUUCCUUUUUUGUCUCAGUGAGAUUGAGACAAAUACUCUUUUGCCCAUAUCAUUGUCUCUACCUUUACACUUUCACACUUAGUUCCUUUGUUGAUGCACCCCACUGCCUUUGUCUUAAUCUCUGUCUUUCUUCAGACUGCUUUUCCUCCAGAUGUCUCCUCUGAAUGUGGCUGCUGUUUUACCUCAUGCUGUCGUCCCUUGUGGUGUCUGAUUUCACAUCCUGUUCCAACAGUUUGACCUUGCCCAGUCUGUUUAUCAGCCUCCUGUGUUACUGCGUGCUGGGGAAGCAGUUUCUUGCCAGCCAUCAUCAGUAACCCAGCUAGGAGAGAAGCAGUCCCAUGGAAGUGAUACCAGUUACUUGACUUUGGUUCCUAUCACUGUGAGUUUCUUUCCUCAUGCUCCAUCAGACGUUGCCAUAUUUUUGGUUACCUCGUUAGUUAUUCUGGAGAACUAGAAUCAUGCCUAGUUUCCCCCUUCACUUUUUCUAGUCUUAAGUCCUUUUUAUGAGCCACACCAACCCUGUUUUGGGAGAAUUCAGGAUUCCAUUCGGCAAGCUACAUCGCCUUUCCCAUGACUGCUUCCCUGCAGCUGGUUUCCCCAUAAUAUCCUCAGAUACACUUUUCACAGUCCUUGCUUUGCAAAAAAAGCAUGAAACCUGAUAGACAGAACCUGAAGGUGUCCCACUUUGCAGGUAGUCCCACUUUCCAGUAGUUCCCAGUCACAGGACAAGAGGCAACAGGCACAAGCUGGAACAUAGGAAGCUCCAUUUAAAGAUGAGAAAAACUUCUUUACUGGGAGGGUGACAGAGCACUGGAACAGACUGCCCAGGGAAGCUGUGGAGUCCCCUUCUCUGUAGAUAUUCAAAAGCCACCUGGAUGUAGCCCUGUGUAAUGUGCUCUAGGGGAUCCUGCUUUAGCAGGACAGAUAGGAUUCAAGUAUGUAAGUAUUAACAAAAAAUGCUGUGAUUGCCCUGAAUGUAUCCUGAUAAACUAUAGCAAAGUCCUUUUGUGCAACAGAGACACAUCCGUGGGAGUUAAUUUUUCCAGAAAUGUCUUUUAUCCACAUUAUUUGUUUUAGCCCUCGAUCUACUAAUAUUCAACACAAAUUUAGAUUCUCUUUGUCCUGUAGAAAAUUAUUGCUUAUAAAAUGUCAGUAAUUUAUAUCAAGGAUAUGUCUUCACUGAGAAGCCAGCACACGUGAAAUUUUAGUUGUGCUGCUUUGUUCACUUCAGUGCCACAUAAAUCUGUCCUGGCUCUGCUCACAAGCUGUGCCAAUCCAAUACUGGUAUUGUGGGAAAACCUGUUUGGAAGUGCCAUUACUCUUCCAGUUCAGUAAACUAAGCCAACAACAGGAAGGAAUACACUGUUGUGGCAGUGAAUGAAAGUCAUGUUCCAGGGAAAAAGGAUGCUGAUGGCGUUUUGCACUGAUGUAGAAACACAUAGUGUUGUGGAAGUGUAGGCAGUAAAGACAAUCAACAAAAUCCCCCUGAGCUGGUCAGUUAUUAUUUUGCAAGGCAGCCUUGAGCCCAGACUGGCAUUACCACACAGUAAAUUGAGAAUAAUCAUCAGUAUUUCAACAGAGAUGCUAUGAGACAAACACUGCUGAUCUGUCAAGUGCCGUGCUGCUUUCUUUGGUCAUCCUGAACAUAGUCUUUAGUAUUCUAUUUAUUUCCCAUGCUGAGGCUUCUCUUCUGGGAGUUCUUUUGUUGUCAUAUGCAUAGAAACUUCAAAGUUUCUGAUUUCUGGGAUCUUCCCAAAUGAGGAGUCUUACUCAACUCCUACCAAAAGCCUGGUGCAGGCAAGGUCAGGACUGGGGAUGCAGUUCCUGUUCAAAUGUGGCACAAGGAUGGCAGAAACACAGCACAGCAAUGAGAAGGAAUUGAUCUUUCAAUGCUAAAACAACCUAGGCAACUUCCAGUGCUGAAAGGAUGAUUUGAGAAGGCAAGAAAAUAAGGCCUUUCUAUGAAUCUGCAGGACAGGGUGGCAGAAGUAACAGUUUUUGAGUUAAUUUGAGAGGUAGACAUCUGUCAGUCCAGGCCAAAUCCAAAGAAAAUCUUGAAUCCUCAACUGGUUUUGCUGUAGCCACCCUAUCUGGGAUUUCUCUCCUGUGUGCAUGUCAUAGGAAGCCAGUCUUUGAGCAAGAACCCAGACUAACCCUGCAGUAAAGACCCAGAGAAGUAGAUUUGAGAACACUUGGGAGAAACUAGUUGCAGGGAAGCAGUCAUAGAAAGAGGAUGCAACUUGCCGAAUUAAAUCCUGAGUUCCUACAAAACGGGGUUGCCAUGGCUCAUUGUUCCCUAUUUUAGACAUGAUUACCCACUGUAGCUGGAUGAGAGGUGUUACUUAGGUGCACCAGUAACAUUGUUUGUUUGGGAAGUCAUUGGAGGUGCACUCUGGACUGGUGUGACAACAGGAGAGGGGCACGUGGGUUGUUUGCAGCUCUCUUACUUGCUCAGUUCACCAAACACAGCUGAACUUAAAGGAGCAGGUAGCAGCAGCAGAGGCCAUGGAACAAGGUCCACAUAGACUCUUAAAGAGGUUUUGUCCUACAAGUUCUCUGUAAAAGAAUAUACAUCCACCAGCCCUGAGAUUCAGGCCAGAAUUCCUGUGGAGGACUUACACUCAAUUUUUGAAAGAAUAUGUGUCUUAAAUGCUGCUCAAGGUACAGUGCACAAGUCAUCAAAGCUGCUGACAUUGACGUAACAGUAUUACAGUUGGUUGGAAACUUCAGUAGCUUCAGACAAGCUACUUCUCCUUUCACUGUGCUGGGCCAGGAGGAUGUAGUCAGGCCACCUUGAACUAUCCAGGUCAGGUGAGUGAAGAGCAGUCAAUGAUUUUCUGUUGGUGAUAAACUCAGGUUACUAUGGUGCUGCUUGGUUCCCUAUACUUACCAGAUUGCAUUAUAUUUUUCUACCAUCACAAAGGUCUUUAUUCUCUAGUGAAGUAGGGAAAAAAAAUUAGUUUUUGCUUAAUUUAAAAUUAUCUAUUAUUCAGGUCUUUCUUCAUGAGUGGAAAUACUAUCAUUAACUUAAUGACCUUAAUGAUCUAAUUUACCUUAACUUCAGGUGCUUAAAAUUUAAAUAGGAUUUUGAAAUAGUCCCAUAGAUAUCCUUUGUCUUUGAUGCAGAGAAGGGGCAUGUCUGGAUGUGGUUUGUUUUACUGCUGGAGAUACUGGUCACCUGAUGAAACUGAUACAGACAGCUAUUUUCUGGGGAAUGGUGGGAUCCAUACCUGUUAGAAACUUACUAACCAUCUUUUAAGGGCAAGUUAAUUAUUAAACUCCUAUUAAGGGGAGUAACUACCAACCUUGCACAAGCUUGCUCCAAGACAUACAAACCUGCUACAGUAACAUGUAACAAUAGGUUAAAAGUUUCCAUAGUUUUGUUGUACUUUUUGUUUUUUUCGUUGGUUGAUUUUGUAGUUCUGUUUUCUUUAUUAAUAUAUAUAUACCAAUGUUUAACUCUAUUGCAGGGCACUUAUGAAUUUGUGCCUCUCUAGGGUAGCCUUUGGUGGGGAUUUCAAUACUUACAUCCCAAGCUUGCAGAGAUAGACAUGUGGCAUCUCCUCAGGCCAAACAUGAAUACUGGAGUCUAGGAGAACAUUACAAGGUGAAAGUGAUUUUUUUGGUGUUCCAAUGUGUAACAACCAACUGUUUGUGUCUUCUUAAUUACCUUGAUAAUUAGUAAAGCAUACUAUUUUUGUUUUGUGCAAUAUUAUUCUCUUAAAACUCUGUGUAUUAUAUGUGUGUGUGUGUGUGUACAAGUACAAAGAUCUAUUAAAAAAAACCCUGCAGAGAUCACCACCAGCUAAAAGACAUUAAAGUCACCAGUGUGGUGAGAUGAGUCACUCUGACAUGUACCUUUUUUCUUCACCAGCUGUGAAGGGAGCCAAGAGUGAUCAGCUCAUAAUUGAAUUCAACUUUAAGGUGACCAAAAGGUGGCAAAAGAAUUACACCUUAAACUUCACUGAAAUACAAGGCAGCAGUUUAAAUGUAUUGAUUUUCCAAUUAGUACCAUACUUUCUCUAUAGUGGUUCCUAUAUCCAAAUAUGUGGUGAUGAUGUCUUUUAUUCUCCACCUUCAGUGUCUCCUUGAUUAUGAGAGUUUCUGCAGUUAAGUCUCAUGCAUGUCUGCAGAAGAUGCCCAACCUUUCCUUGCCAUGUGAGGAGUGCACUGACUUGCUGCUUCAGUUUGUUAGUUCAACCUUUGGGCCAUUUACAAAAAAAUGGUUAAAUCCUGAUUCCUUCCACUUAUGUCAACCUGUCAUUAACUUUCCUUUCCAAUUGGUUUAAGGAGUGAAGAAGGUUUUAUUUACUACUCUUGUUUCACUGUUAAGUGGGAAUAUUUCCAAGCAUCUUAGAGUCUGUCAAUCAGUUACAUUUCAAAAUUAACAGGAUGUUGGUUGGGAACAAGGUGUUCCCUGGAGCUGUGAAGGUGAGAGUCCUAACACAGGUAUGUGACUAAACUAUGUGACAGUACAUAAGCUACAUCCUAAACUCACUACCUUUGCGUGCACCUCCAAAAUGCUAUGGUACAUGUAGGUAUCUUCAGUUUUACUUAGCACUUAGACUUGAAUCUCAGUUUACAGCAAUUAGUUGACAGGACUCAAGCUUUUCCCAGCAGGCCAGGAAAAGUCUGGUGUCCUGCUGCAAAGCAGUCCCUUGGGUUCCUUAUCCAGUCUUUGCACUGGCAGCACAACUUCAUCUUUUCAUGCUCUUUCAGUGACUCAGAGGUUUGACAAUCUGUACAGUUUUCCUGUUGACACCACGAUCCCUGCAAAAAGAAGAUUUUGGUGUAGCGAGUCCUUGCUUAAGAGCAAGAACAAGUAGUCACUGCCCUGGGUAUAUCCUAUGGCUGAUGUGUUGGAUUAUUUUGAUGGGCCUGGUUCUCAGAAAUGCAGCAGAACUAAUACAUUACAUAACUAGCACCCAAAAUUGGCUGGGAUUCAUUCAUGGUUACUUGUGAGCAGUAAUACCCAGCCAGACAUUGCUCUGAGGAGAUGUGUGCACUAGUACUUCCAAUUAGGAAGUCACCACAAAAUGUACAUUUCUGAAACACUCAGCUCUGCAGCAAGUGGAGUUGGCAUUGCUUGCUGGCAUUGUACACAAAGAUGUUUGGAAAAGAGCUAAUUGCAUUGUGCUUUGACUAUGUGAACUGAUGAGGUUCAUUAAUGAAUGUGCCUAGGCUUAUUGCUUCACUAAUGUUAGUAUUUGCUAUUAAUGACACUGUUUACAACUGUUUGUGCAAUACAGUCCUGUUUUUCACAGUGUAUGCUCAACUGUUCCUUUGUUUCAGUGAGGCUUGAGUAGAUCCUUAGAUGUAAAUUGUUCCAAAAGUGUGGGACCUCACUGUGAACAAAAUGAAUAUGGAAGGACACUUGAGGGCAUUCAAACCAUCCUGAAACAAAACACUGGGAAGGUGACUCUUUGCUGGAGUAAUGCAAGACUUUGUCAUAAGGAAGAUUUUAAUUACAAUCCCACACUCAGUGUUUUGACAGAUUGCAGACACCAAUGUUGUGUGUGCUUAUUAUCUGUGAAAUUCAGCAAUUCUUCCCUACAUUCACAUGGCUGAAAGCCACCAGGACCUUGAUUUCCUGCAGGCUGAGGCAGGCAGGCAGACCUCAAAGUGGAGAAAGCAGAGCCCUUAUGAGUCAAAGCUUCAUGGGAAAACAUGUUCUUGACAGUUUUUGUCUCCACAAAAGGGGUUAGCAUAACUAACCAAGAAACUGGUGUAGAGAGCUGAGAUCGAUGUUAAAUUCCCUUGAUGUUUGCAGAACAAAUUGAUGAGCAGGCAAAUGAGGAAGAUGAACUGCAGUGUUCAAGUCUAGUGAAAACACUGGGUAGUUUCCAAUGCAGUUUUCAAACUAUCCAAGAUAAAGAAACAGUUGAUGCAAUCAUUUUGUCCUCAUAAGUUCAGCCUGAAACUCAGACAAUUAUGUGAUAUUGUCUUUGUCUCUUUUUCUGCAGCCUGCUGAUUUUGAACUCUUCUUGAAAGUUCUUUAUUUGGGGUUGAUCUCUACUAGCAUUUGCCUUCCUGAAUAUUAGGUUGUGAUACUGGGUGAAAAAAAAUCUAAAUUGUUGCUUGUCUGCACCUGCAAUGCUGUUAGCUCAGUACAGUGUGCAGGGGUUCAUGUACCAGCAGGUUUGAUAUAUAAGAAGCAUUUGUCCAUAUAGCUUUCUGCAUUUCAUAAGGCUAUGGAUUUCUUUGCUACACACAGAGGCUGUUGUGCUGGAUCAGAUCUGUGGUGAUUCAUUGGCUUAAUGCUUCUAGAACCAGAAGCAACAUUCACGUGAGAAUUUCAAUUCAAACCAAGAAGACAUGUAAGAUAGACACUUUUAACAGAGAGGGUGAUUCACCAUUGGAAAAAACCUAGACUUGGUCAUAGCAAAUUUUUCAUCCGUGUUUGCAAAUUAGUGCUGGAGGUCUUUCUGGAAGAAAAAACAAGUAGCCAAAACCAAGUUACUGUGUUCAAUAGAAGGAUCACUGAAUGAAAUUAGCUAGCAUAUGAUAGAAGAAUGAGCUACAUGACGAGACAGUCUUUUCAGUCUAUUUGUGUUACAUGCAGAAUAAUAAAGUCCCUAGGAACAGAAAAGACUGGCUUUCUCAGGAGGACAAGGACUACCUCUGACUCCUCUUCCUCCCCCAGCCAGCAGAAGCUGAGAAGGUUUAAUGCUGCUGGCGUGGUGCCUGCCUUUGACAGAGACCAUUGGCAUGGCACUGAUAGAUUCAGUGCUGAAGCUGUGUGUUCUCGCUGCAGGGCUGGCUUUAGAAAAUCUGAGUCGUUCUGCAAAAUCAGCAUGUGUUUUGCUUGGGAGAGAAAUGGUGUGGUGGAUUGUGUGUGUGAGGAGGAAAGCAGCAAGGAAGAUCAAAUUAAUUUUCUGUUCCUAGCAACUGGGAUAUGUAGUCACCUGGGGUUUUUUUGUGGUUUUGAAAUGUUCAAUAAAUUUGAAAUAAAUUGUGAAUAUGCUUUAGUCCAUAGUUGGUUGUCAGGGAUACAAGUAGCACACAUUUGGUUUCACUGGCACAGAUUGUUUAUGUCUCUGAAUUUGUUAUUCAUGCAGGCCAGAUCCUAGUAGGUGUUUUAGUGUACAAUCUCUUUUUUAAGGAUCGUUGUGAUCUCCUGUUGUUUUCUACCCUAGAAAAGGUCAUAUUUAAUCUAUGGCAGUAAAAUAAAUUCAUGUGUUAAUCAGGGCCUGGAUCAGGCCUCAUUGAGCUGCAGAGGAGCAGCACCUACAAGGUGAUGAUCCAUCACGCCCUUAUUUUUUUGCUGGGAUGGUAUAGACACUUUCAUUUUGGUAUAAUUUUUCUUUCACAUUCACUGGUCUUUCCUCUAAUUUACCCAGUAAGGUUUACACUUCUGGAUGGCCUCCAGUAGACACCAAACUGAAAUGAGAAAUCCCACAGUCCUCCAUGUGCUUUAGAGUUCACGUCUCUUAUAAUUAGCAGAUUUAUGGGAACUCAGAGAAAGUUCAGGUGUUCACAGCAGCUAGAAGCACACACAGUGGCAAAAGUAAUAGCUCCUAUCUCAAUUAUUUACAGGCUUUGGCCAAAGUGGUAAAAGCUAGCUGCCAAAUCUUCAGUUGCAAAAUCAGCCCCUAAAAUUACGCGACUGAAAGUGUUGUGUUUUUCAAAGUCGCUGAUUAUUCUUCCACUAGGAUUCAGAGCGGCUGAAAGUGGGGUGUUGUGUUGUCUAACUUUGCUGUGCCAGAUCCUAGGAGUGAAACCCAGCAGUGUGUGUUCACUGGUUAUGUUCUGCUCCUGGAGAGGCUGGCGGCACGUUGAUGCUACAUUGCUUUGUGGCCCUGUUUUAGAUAAUGCCAGUGAGUCCUCUUCAUGACAGUGGUGGGACCUUGCUUCUGGGAAUGAUCCAUUCCAAGCAUCCCUCCAAGAAUGCAGCAGGACUGAACAAGAGCAUGUGGCAGUUCUCUCCCCUGCGUUUCUUGCACACCAGCAUUGGUCUAUGGCUAAUUCCACCCUUUUGGUGCCAAAUUGUCCUUCUGUCCUAUAAGGGUCAGCCAGUGGCUCCAUCAUCCCCAGCAUGGUGAAAGCCCAGAGCAGCAGUCCAUCCUCCAUGUGCUCUGCAGUGUGGAUGUCAAUAUCUUGCCUCCUGCGUGAAACUCCUCUUUGUCCCACUUGCUGUCACUGCUGUACUGAGCCACAGGAACUGCAGGAAAUGAAACACAGUUUAAGUAUUUCAGACUCGGGUCUGAAAGAUGAUGAAUUAAAAACCAGAGAGAAACCACCACUGCGGCCAAGCAGUGCAGUAUAGUUGCUUGUGAGAUUUUGUCCUAACUCAUAUUUUGUCGAUUUUUGUACUUUAUUCUUAGAGACUUCACAGCCAGCUGCUUUAUCCCCAGCAUUUGUAUUUUGUUUUUUCAUAGCUUAAUCUCUUAUGACUUCUAACUUUUACCUCCUGAGUGUCUGGAGUAAAAGCUCUCCCUCUUUGAUAUCAGAACACAAGGUAUUUGUGUUGACAAUGGCUAUGCAAAACACCGAGCUACAAAAGUGGUCCAUCAGACUAGGACAGUCACUCAGGAGUUUCUCUGUGAGUUAUUUAAAACUAAUCACAACCUUCAUUUCCUCUCCCAGGCAGCAUUUUUCUAGGGUAUGAGCUUUAAAUCCUACUUCUUAAUGAUUUGUUAUAACCGUGAGAUGAGGAUCUGGCUAUUUUGACAUUCAAUUUAUUUUAAGAAUUCACAUCACUAGUCAGGAAAUAUAGGUGCCGAUCAUGAGCUGGAAAAUUCAUCUUGCAUGCUGAUGCUCCUGAGAGAUUGCUUUUCUUUGUUGUGUGCUUUGUUGUAUUUGAAAAGCAUCUUGAAAAUUAGUACAUUGAAAAAUUUUCUAUUUUCCUAAGGUAAUUCAGAUCCAGCAGAAGAUGUAAAAUACGUCAAUAAGGCAUGAAAAUUGCACUGAAUUAAUUAAUGCUAAAGCUACCUGUGAUUCCCAAGGUAUUGCUAGACAAACAUUAUUACAUUAAUGUGGACUGAAUUUAUUAAGAAUGUUGUCAUCAUAGAUUCCUCUUUUAAGAAAACAAGUACUUGCACAGACUGUGUUUGUUGUUACUUCUGCACACACAAAAUCGAAUAUGUAACACUUGGAAAGUCACCUUGCCUUUUCAAAUAAACCUCAGAAGUUUACCUGUAAGUAGUAGUUGUUUAGUUUGUGAUAGAUUUGCAAUGCCCUAGGGCCCUUCCACAAUAUUUAUGCAAAGCAGAUAAUCAGCCAAACAGGGAUUUAGUUCUCUUAAACAAUUACUUACAGUAAUUUUGAGAAAAAAUCUGUGUGUUUUUUUUGGUUUGGUUUGGUUUGGUUUGGUUUGCUUUCCAACAGAUACUGGUUUUUAAUAACCUUAAUUUUCCUCUGUUUUCUUGAGCUUUUUGUAUUUGGGACUAGAACUUCCUUCAUAUUUUGAAUUCUCUUUUACCUUAAUUCCAUUAAAGGAAUACUUAUUGUGA